UUUCUGUCCUUUUAAACUGUCUUUAUCUCAGCCCAUGAUAUUUUUGCCCCCCCCCUCCCCUUUUUUUUUCUCACAAUUCUCUCCCCAGUCCCACUGUUGAGGAGGAGCAAGCAAACAGCUGUGUGGUGCUUAGCUGCCUGCUGGGUUACACCACAGCAAGUGAGAGCUGACUUCAGGCUGCUGAGGGAACUUGUUAGUAAGGUCCUCUGCAAAACUGCUUUUGGAGAUGUUGGUGACUGUUAGUGCUAGUCACUUUUUAAGUGCCACCUCAUAAGAGCACAGGAGCAGGUGAUUCCAAAAUGUUGGAAAUCAAGAAGGUGGGGCAGAAGGCUACUGAAAGCAAGUGUAUGUGGAAAAAGCUUAAUUAGAGUUGAAACUGGCCAGUACUUUGUUGGACAAUAAAAAGGGCUUAUCAUCACUGAAAGAAGUGUCUGUGUGAACCGUAGAUCAGUCAGCAAAUAUUAGUGGAUAGAGCUGUAUUAACACAGGAGAGAAACCAGUUUGUAAGACACUGGAGAGCACUAGAUAGUCCCAGCUUCUCUAGAAUAACAGAAGAACAGGUGCAAUCAGGGAGCAUACUGCAAUGCAGGGUAGCAGCUCGUCAGAUUUUGGACAUUAUUUCCUCAAGGAAAAAAAAGGUGAGCAAGUCAAUGCUGAUCAUUUCCAGGUUUCUGUAGCUUUUGCUGCAUAAUUUCAGUGCUCACUGGAUAACCAUCUGCAUACUAAGAGAUAAUACCACAGUAUAAUAACACAGUAUCUGAAUAAAGAUUUUUUCUCAUGUCUG
RNAcentral lists this long non-coding RNA (784 nucleotides) under Anas platyrhynchos platyrhynchos (common mallard). RNAcentral describes it as "lncRNA (ENSAPLG00000026554.1)". The record is from RNAcentral. Lineage: Eukaryota; Metazoa; Chordata; Aves; Anseriformes; Anatidae.